Non-coding RNA from Schistosoma margrebowiei, 45 nucleotides. Lineage: Eukaryota; Metazoa; Platyhelminthes; Trematoda; Strigeidida; Schistosomatidae. The record is from Rfam.
AUUCAGCUGACGAGUCCCAAAUAGGACGAAAUGCGCGUCCUGGAU